ACGAACGCUGGCGGCAUGCCUAACACAUGCAAGUCGAACGAGACCUUCGGGUCUAGUGGCGCACGGGCGCGUAACGCGUGGGAACCUGCCCUUAGGUUCGGAAUAACUCCCCGAAAGGGGUGCUAAUACCGGAUAAUGUCUUCGGACCAAAGAUUUAUCGCCUUUGGAUGGGCCCGCGUUGGAUUAGCUAGUUGGUAGGGUAAAAGCCUACCAAGGCGACGAUCCAUAGCUGGUCUGAGAGGAUGAUCAGCCACACUGGGACUGAGACACGGCCCAGACUCCUACGGGAGGCAGCAGUGGGGAAUAUUGGACAAUGGGCGAAAGCCUGAUCCAGCAAUGCCGCGUGAGUGAUGAAGGCCUUAGGGUUGUAAAGCUCUUUUACCCGGGAUGAUAAUGACAGUACCGGGAGAAUAAGCUCCGGCUAACUCCGUG
Molecule: ribosomal RNA, 432 nt
Filed under: uncultured bacterium
Lineage: Bacteria
Description: partial 16S ribosomal RNA
Rfam family: Bacterial small subunit ribosomal RNA
Source: RNAcentral